This 497-nucleotide ribosomal RNA is filed under the name uncultured bacterium. Its description in RNAcentral is "partial 16S ribosomal RNA". It matches the Rfam family "Bacterial small subunit ribosomal RNA", at positions 28 to 507 of the family's 1533-position model. The record is from RNAcentral.
GAUGAACGCUGGCGGCGUGCCUAAUACAUGCAAGUCGAGCGAACAGACGAGGAGCUUGCUCCUUUGACGUUAGCGGCGGACGGGUGAGUAACACGUAGGUAACCUACCUAUAAGACUGGGAUAACUUCGGGAAACCGGAGCUAAUACCGGAUAAUAUUUCGAACCGCAUGGUUCGAUAGUGAAAGAUGGCUUUGCUAUCACUUAUAGAUGGACCUGCGCCGUAUUAGCUAGUUGGUAAGGUAACGGCUUACCAAGGCAACGAUACGUAGCCGACCUGAGAGGGUGAUCGGCCACACUGGAACUGAGACACGGUCCAGACUCCUACGGGAGGCAGCAGUAGGGAAUCUUCCGCAAUGGGCGAAAGCCUGACGGAGCAACGCCGCGUGAGUGAUGAAGGUCUUCGGAUCGUAAAACUCUGUUAGUAGGGAAGAACAAACGUGUAAGUAACUGUGCACGUCUUGACGGUACCUAAUCAGAAAGCCACGGCUAACUACGUG